UUUCAUCAUAGUUUUGUAUGCUAUGAUCGGAUCUUGUGCAGAAUAGGGGAUUUUACUCUUGCAAAAGCCUGGUUGGCGAUGACUCUUCAUGCAGAGGGGAACUGACUGCUAGAGACUCAAAGCGGUAAUCUCAGGAAACAGAAGGACACAGGAGAGGAGAAAGCAAUGGGAAGAUGGAAGUCGAGAUGAGAGUGAUGUAGCCACAAGCCAAAGCAUGCCAACAACCAUACAAAGCUGGAAGAAGCAUGGAACAAUUUUUUUCUCCAGGACCAGAAGAAAGAACCAGCCUUAUGGAUACUGUGAUUUUAGUGCUGUAAGACUCAUCUUGGACUUCUGGUCUCCAGAACUUGGAAAAGAGUGGGCUUUGAGAAGAUCCAGAGCUUCUCAGAUGCACCCAAACAUGUGGAAAGGACCAGCUGUUCCUAACUGAGAUUUAUUUAUUCAUUUGCAAGACAGAGUUAUACAGAGAGAGAAGGAGGGGCAAAGAGAGGUCUUCCAUCUGCUGAUUCACUCUCCAACUGGCCACAAUGGCUGGAGCCGUGCUGGUCCUGUGUUGAUCCGAAGCCAGAAGCCAGGAGCCUCCUCCAGAUCUCCCACGUGGGUGUAGGGUCCCAAGAGUUGGGCCAUGCUACUGUUCAAGUUCUGCCCCUUCCCCGACAAUGACCUAUUCUUCAAGUCUAAGAUGUUCUUACUUCUCACUAGUGCUUGAUCACAUAGACUGCCCUGAGUGUCUCUUGGCUCCUGUUGCGCUGUGAACUUGUGAUGGACAGUGUCUCCUGCCUGUCAACAGUGGCUCCCUCAGCUGUUUCCCCACCUCCUCUGAGGGUCAGAGGCAGCUUUCAGGUUUCCUUUCACUCGUCACUUGUAUGUGACUCUAUUCUGGGUAAUAAAGCUUGAAGGGGAAUCAGCUGGGAGCAUUUCAGAAGAGAAAAUGUCUCUAUGUCUUUCUCCAGAAAUUAUUUCGCCUGUAUGUAGUAUUUGGCAGGUAGCAGCUAUCUUUCCACUAUGAGAGGAGGUCCUGGCAUGCAUUCAGGUCAUGUAUCCAUUAUUCAGGAUCCAGCCAGGAGACAGUAAUUUGACAGGGAAGGAAUUUUAACCAAACAGGGAAUUGGCUACUACAGGAUAAGAAGAAUGCUACAGAAUGCAAGAAUGACCACGACUCAUAGAGCCCAGGCAGAGUGCCUGAGGAGGGAAUAGAUCUGAAAGAGAACCCAAGAUCCAACAGCCAAAAUUCAGAGCUCAUUGGAGAGUGUGGUUAGUGCCCUCUGGACAAAGGAGGAGUUGGCUGGGGUGGCCCAAGACUGAAGUGGCAAACUGGAAAUUGAGCACUAAGGUGCUAGCAAAUCUCACCAGGAAAUCACUUUCUGGGAUCCUUCAGAGGAAGGCAAGGCAGUUGCUACAGAGAGUGAGUGCUGAAACACCAGAAAGCUGGCUCACCUGUAGGUGGAACUUGCUGGAAACCCAUCAUCUAUGAUGACUAUUGAAACUGGCAGGCAAUGUGCUGGCUGUGACAGCUGACACCCACAGGGAAACUGGGGACCCAGUGGGAUUCACUGGAAAUCUGCCCUCUGAGUGGAGUGAGCACCACAGGUUGCCUUAUGCCCUGUCUGCCACCAUGUACAGUAGAAGCCACCAUGUACAAAGUGUCCAACAGAACCUGCGUGAGGGCCCCUUCUUCCUGCAUUGUCCUCCAGCCAAUCACUGAGAAGUUUCACACUGAGCCAAGGAAAGGUGCUUAUGGAGCCUGGGCACAGAACCACAGAGCAGAGCAGUGUGAAUUGGAAGCCGAGAACCGGAACAGUGAGAGCUCUGGCAUACACUGAAGGGAAGCCACCAAGAUGUGGUUAUGGAUUUUAUUCCGCAUUUUCUUCACACGCCUUGAGGAACAGGCAUCUGGAGGUUGAACUGCAACUGGGUAGGAUCAAGACAUGGUCAAGGUCUUCAGGGUUCAUCACUACAAUAUGGAAAAGGCUGAGGAACACAACAUUGAUCCCAACACUGACAUUGCUAGGAUGAGAAAUUUUUAUAAAAGAGAUAGAAGGUUAACACAGCACAUCAGAGUUUGCCACAGCGAGAGAGAUUUGGGAGGUUCAAGCACCAAGAUCUCUACGUGGAAGUGACACACGCCGCUUUCACUCCAAAGAACUUUGUUUCACCUGCCUGUCAGAGGGCUGGACUCUUGGUCCAACAAGAGGAGAAAACUGAAUGUAUCUGUACUCAUUAUGGCUAUCACAUAUGCCUUUGAGAAUCAUUGGCUUCUUGUUCAUCUAGUUUGAUUAUCCUACCUUAAAGAAAGAGCAAUGGAUUUAUAUUCAUGACCUGAUGUAGUCCUAUAGCUUAACUUCCAGUUAGUGAUUUAAAAAUGUUAGUCUUUUAAAUUGCAUGUUCUCUGUGUUAGUA
Lepus europaeus (European hare) is the source of this 2400-nucleotide long non-coding RNA. RefSeq lists it as uncharacterized. NCBI's taxonomy places the organism in Eukaryota, Metazoa, Chordata, Mammalia, Lagomorpha, Leporidae. The transcript has 7 exons. The record is from RefSeq and is a predicted model, not a curated record.